This is a small nuclear RNA of Mustela putorius furo (domestic ferret), 150 nucleotides long. Its record names the gene U12. It matches the Rfam family "U12 minor spliceosomal RNA". From Rfam's summary of the family: Although the U12 sequence is very divergent from that of U2, the two are functionally analogous. The record is from Ensembl. NCBI's taxonomy places the organism in Eukaryota, Metazoa, Chordata, Mammalia, Carnivora, Mustelidae.
AUGCCUUAAACUUAUGAGUUAACAAAAUAAUGAUUCGGGGUGAUGUCCAAAUGCUCACCGCUAAUGUGAGAUGAAUUUUUGUGUGGGCAAAGGUUGCCCUUCAGGUGACCUGCCUACUUUGCGGGAUGCCUCCGAGUGGCAAUCUGCUCA